Molecule: ribosomal RNA, 273 nt
Filed under: uncultured bacterium
Lineage: Bacteria
Description: partial small subunit ribosomal RNA
Rfam family: Bacterial small subunit ribosomal RNA
Source: RNAcentral
AGAAUCAACGCUGGCGGCGUGCCUCAGACAUGCAAGUCGAACGCGAAAGUUUCCUUCGGGAAAUAAGUAGAGUGGCGCACGGGUGAGUAACACGUAGGUAAUCUACCUUUGGAUGGGGAAUAACAACCGGAAACGGUUGCUAAUACCGCAUAAUGCAGCGGCACCUAAUGGUGACAGUUGUUAAAGCGGGGGAUCGAAAGACCUCGCGUCUGAAGAGGAGCCUGCGGCGGAUUAGCUAGUUGGUAAGGUAAUGGCUUACCAAGGCUACGAUCC